GACCUGGCUGGGUGGUCUUGCCGCAAGGUAAGCACUGCCUCUGGUCGGGUCUUUCCUUCUGGGGAACCUGUGUGCCCUUAAUUGAGUGCGCAGGGGAUCCAGGACUUUUACUUUGAAAAAAUUAGAGUGUUCAAAGCAGGCAUUUUCGCUUGAAUACAUUAGCAUGGAAUAAUGGAAUAG
Molecule: ribosomal RNA, 180 nt
Filed under: uncultured Glomeromycotina
Lineage: Eukaryota; Fungi; Glomeromycota
Description: partial small subunit ribosomal RNA
Rfam family: Eukaryotic small subunit ribosomal RNA (bases 94-180)
Source: RNAcentral